UGCACUCUUAUUCAUGGGCCCUUUCCCUCUAUAUUUGAACCCCAUGGACCGUCUCUCGAGUCGUUCCCUUUGGUUGCUUACAAUCCACCACGCUUCCCUGCAAGUUCACACCCUAGUGAACGGAAGCUAAGAGCCGCAGCUCUCCCGAGAGCCCCGCUCUCUUGACACCCUACCACUCGGGUCGAGCCCAGUGGGAGCAAAUUGGACCAGCCAGAUGUCAAUCAACAUGUGGUGUCAUUCCCCUAGCCAACCAACAGAGUCGAACUCGAGACCGCUCCGAUACCAAAUGUAAGCUCCUGAGUUUAGACUUCCUGGGAGGUCACUCAGCCCAGUAUUAUUCAAACCCAAGGACACUUAACCCCGAAUAUCCCAAGACCCUUAACUGAUUGGAAAAGGGGGUGCACUCUUAUUCAUGGGCCCUUUCCCUCUAUAUUUGAACCCCAUGGACCGUCUCUCGAGUCGUUCUCUUUGGUUGCUUACAGUAUAACAUAUCUCGGAUUGAAAAGGUGAUGGGAGUGUCAACUAGUUGCUGAAGAAUUGGCUCUGGAACAUGAAUAGCUGCUGGUGAGAUCACAGGAGGAGAAGAGAAUAGUGACUUGAAGGAGAGCUUACAAGCCACCCUCUAUGUCACUAGAUUUGGUGCCGAUAGAGAUUCACUCUCAACCGAUUCUGAGGGAUCCACGACAGGCUGAGCAGCUGCCUUCUUCUUCACUUGGGCUUGAGUGGUUGCAAUUUGCUACUACUAUUUAUAGAGUUUCUCGGCUACCAAAAUCAUGUUGACCAAUGAGACUGGUGCCUUGCCUUUGCUUGACAAAGGGGCUGCCUCAAUUGCUUGUUGCUCCAAUUGCUCCUAGUAUAUUUCUGGACCACGAGAUGGUGUGGAGUUGUCAGCAAAGGGACAUUGCUAGACAUGUUGAGAAGGUGGAAGCUGAAGCUCUAGGUGAAGGUUGAAGUAGUGUUGUAUGUUGUGUGUGUUCAUCUCGCAGUGAGUGCAGCAACGGGACUUGAAUUGGCAUUCCCAAGCUGGAGCAACCUCCUUCCUGGACUCUACAAGCUUCUAGAGCAGCUAUCAUGGUGUGACUGUUGUUGAAAAAUUAUCUCCUUCAAUUGCCGUAGCUCAUUGAAGAACUUCUCGAUAGCCAAAGUUGUAUGCUCAACAACAAUGGGCUUUGGUGUUGAUGGGCAGACAACUACACAAGACAACUCUAAUGAGGUGAUGGCUUGGUUGAAAUUGACUCUGGCAAUCCCCAAGUUGACAAGCAGCUCUCUUUCCAACUUUGUGGGAAACAAAAAUGCCUCGCAACAAGACCCAAAUGUCUUCUUAAGAAGUUUCCGCUGCAAGUUCCCUCAUAGACCUAUUGUGAAUGCUAUUAUCCCAUACUGCUCAUCUUGGACCACCCUAAGAUCCCAACAUUGCUUCUAGUAUGCUCAAAAAUAGGUGAUGUAGUCAGGAACAAACUCAUGAGCACCCUAUCGAAACAAAAAGAGGUUGAUAAGUAAUUAAUUUGUGGGUUUUUCUUCAAUAAAACGUUCUCUAAAAGAAGCAAGUAGUGUCUGGAAGUCCAUUUGGUCCUUUGGGAGAAGAGAAUCUACCCAAGUUGCAACUUUGCCUUCAAGAGACUACAAGAAGUUGCGGCAUAUACAAUCAUCGUCGAAAAUCAUGUUUGUGGUGUAGUAGUAAUCAAAGCGACUAAUAUGUGAUGCUAGAAAGAUUUUUCUAACACCUGAAGGGUCAGCAGACCAUUCCCUUCUAUAAAACAUAGAGCUAGGGUUGAGCUAAAGGUGGCUGUGCCAUAGUUUGUAGAUCUAAGUCAUUGAAAUUUACUAAGGAUGAAGAAGACUCAACACAAGAAGGUGUCAUGUUGUACUUAAGUUGCCUCUAGAUGUUAGAAAGUUUACUCCAUACCUCCCACUGGGCUCGACCCGAGGGGUAGGGUGUCAAGAGAGCGGGGCUCUCGGGAGAGCUGCGGCUCUUAGCUUCCGUUCACGAGGGCAUGAACUUGCAGGGAAACGUGGUGAAUUGUAAGCAACCAAAGGGAACGACUCAAGAGACGGUCCAUGGGGUUCAAAUAUAAAAGGAAAGGGCCCAUGAAUAAGAGUUCACCCCCUUUUCCAAUCGGUUAAGGGUCUUGGGAUAUUCGGGGUUAAGCAUCUUUGGGUUUGAAUAAUACUAGGCUGGGUGCCUCCCAGGAAGUCCAAACUCAGGAGCUUACAUAUGCCUUGUCCCUGGAUUCAGCUAGUGUUUGGAGGAGUUUGCAUGGUUUGGAACACCACAAAGCACCCUCUAUAGGACUCCUCAAGAUGUGCACAUUGUUAACAUGACAAGAUAUGGUGGAAAUCCUAGUCCAUUCUUCAUCCCGGUGCAGAUUAGUACUUCUUCUUACAAGAUGGAUGCUUUGGUUGACUCCGGUUCUGCAAGCAAUAUUAUCUCUCUUGAAGUUGCCUUCUCAGCAUAGCUACAAAUCAGUAAUAGCUCCUCCAUUGUGCUCAAAACCUUUGCCAAUCACAUUGUUCCUCCAACGGGCAUUUGCUGUGGUGUCAAGGUCUUGGUGCAGAGUGUUAUUUCUGAGGUAGAUUUCCUCAUGAUUGACUACUAGUGUCUUUGAAUGUGCUAUUUGAAGGACUUUAUCAUCCUCAGCCACUCAUGCCAAGUUGCAGCCCAUUGCACUAUUGACAGUGCAAAAGACAGGAUGGAAAUUAGCAAUGAAAUCCAUAGUGCCACCUUUCUCAACAACCAUGGCAGAGCUCUUUCUUAGCACACCCAGAAGGUUCAGGCUAAGAUGGUCUCCACACCACACUUUCCUCCUAAGCUCAUAGAGAUUUUCCCUGAGUUGGCAGUGGAGUCACCCAUAUAUGCGAUAGAUGCUUUCUCAUGCAAUGUGAUCGACAUUGUUGGAGGUGAGUCCAACAUCUCUAAACAUCUCUCCUCUCUUUAUUUGAGAGUAAGGAUGAGCCUCUAGCCAUGCCCUUUUUAUUUGAUGGUGGGGCUUAUAGAGUGCUGGCUUCCACAUCCAACUUUUUGGAGUGUUUCCCAAUUGAGGAAGGGCUUCUUGAUUCAUUUCUUGCAGGACCAACUCUCUCUCAUGGAGUUUGAUGAUACAGCCACUCUAGACUAGGUCCAUAUUUCACAGAAUAUAGAUGAAUUCAGUUUUCUUCAACCACUAUUUAAGGUGUCACACAGCUGGCAUCUUCCCACUAAAAUCAUUGUAGCUGGUGACUCUAAGCAUAUUUUGUCAUGCCAUUUUUUGGAGACAAAGGGUAUUCAUUCAGACAAACAGCUGACAGAAAUAAUUAAGCCAAUUGGACAUGCUGCAUGCAAGCUAUAUCUCAGUGACUUCAGAAUUUCCUACUGUGGAGCCCCUAGUACAGAUCCAAGUGUAUUGCAUUGAAGAUUCAACCCCAGACUUGGACUCAACUUCAAUGGAGGAUCUUCCCUCACUAGUAGAACACUUGGCUUUAGUCCUUGCAUUGGAGAUUGUGUGCUUAGAGCAUCAGAAGCAAGAGAGAGCAAGAGACAAAGGCCUUGGAUCCAACAACAAUGUUCUUGCCCCACUUUCCAGAGAUAGACUUGGUGGAUGUGGAGUCUCUAGCAUCUUUAUUCAAGGAAGAGGACACUCCUAUAGUUACAGCUUAUUUUGAUAGCACUUUCUACCCCAAAAUCCAAGUUGCAAGCAUUAGAAUUUGGAUGAUUGAUUUUGUUGAGAACAAAGUAGCCGACCUCUCUAUCACUUUAUCAGCAAUAUCAACUAAUGAAGUGGAGUACUUGGUAGAGCUAUCAGUGCCAUGAAUUUUGCCACAGAUCUCAAGUUUAAGCAAGCCACUUUCAUUAGAGAUGUGCAACUCAUCAUACGCCAAUUUACUGGAGAAUACCAGAUCCACAAAGACAACCUAAAAGAGCUAUGGCAACUUGCGGUCAACCUAAAGGAUGAGUUAUCUCAGGUGACUUUUCAAAGUUUCCCUUAUGAAGAAAUUUUUUGGGUAGAUAGGUUAUCACAUCAAGCAAUCAUCACAAUACAAGAGGCAAAAGACACUCCCAGCUCUUUGAUUUCCAAGGUCGAAGAGGAAUCUGAGAUAGAUGAGCCCUCUGAGCCUAACGUUCCUCUAGACUCCAGGGUUCAUGCCAUUUUCCUAAGUGAUGACAAGGACCUGGUCUUUAUCGCCACAUUGCUUGCUUCAACAAACACAACAAAGCUUUUGAAUCUCCUUCACUGUUUCAAGGAUGUGUUUGCUUGGGACUAAAGCCAGAUUCUAGGAGUCCCCAUAGACACAAUCAUGCACAACAUUAUGCUUUUGGAGUCAGUAAAACCAAUUUGUCAAAAGAAGUAGCAUUUCAACCCAAUAGCUCACUUGGAGAUGAAGUUGGAGAUUGAGCGACUUUUGGCAGCCUGCUUUAUUUACCCUUUGGAGAACUCAGAGUGGGUGGCCAACCUUGUCCCUACACAAGGAAAAUGGAAAACUCCACCUUUGCAUUGACUUUCAAGACUUGAACAAGGCAACUGCAAAAGAUCACCUUCCAACUCUAUUUAUCGAUGUGAUUGUGGAUGAGAUGGCCGGAUACCAAUACUACUUUUUCAUGGAUGGUUUUUCAGGCUACAACCAAAUCUUCAUUCAUCUCGAUCAUCAGGAUCUCCUUCUAGACACCUGGGGGCAUCUUUGCUUUCAAUAUCCUACUGUUUGGCUUGUGUAAUGCCAAAGCUCCUUUUUAGCGCUUUAUGACCCACACCUUUCACAACUUGAUUGGAGAUUCCUUUUGGGUGUAUAUAAAUGAUUUGUGCAUGACCUUUGACUCUUUUGAUGGCCACCCUUUGCACUUGGAGUAGAUCUUCACUCAUUGCCAAAAACACAAGUUUUCUUUGAACCUAGCAAAGUGUAAGUUUGGGAUGAUUGAAGGCUGGUUGCUAGGCUUUGAUGUCUCAUAGGAUGGGAUCAAGCCCUAGAUGGCCAAAUCUCGGGAGAUUUUGGAUCAGCGCUUGCCAACCAACUUGAAGCAGCUUUAUGGCUUCCUCGGGCAAAUAGGUUUCUUUCACCAUUUCCUCCACAACUAUACUGUAAGUUCAUGGUCUCUGAUAACUCUGCUAUAACACAAUGGUGAGAGCCAACAACAAACCUUUGAUUCACUGAAGCAGUCCCUACACACGGCCCCGGUACUCCAGCCACCAGAAUAACAACUUCCUUUUGAGAUUUACAUCAUAAUUGGAACAGAGGCUUUUGGAGCCAACAUUUAGAGCCUGGCAAGCCACCUCAUGCAACUUGCUAUGCCUCACAUUCUUUCAAAGAGACUAAGAAGAAGUAUGUGGAUGCAGAAAAAGAAGCAGUAGCUAUUGUUUACACCUUCUUUUAUAGUGAUUGGUUCAUAGUCCUUGUACUUUAUCUUGGAUUGUGACCAUCGAAAAGUUCCAGCCAACUUUUUACAUGCGGCAGAAGCGUAUGAUGGAUCUAAGUGAGUUCUUAGUUGCUGAAGCUACCUCCUUUGUGGUCCCAGUAGUGUUAUAGGACAUUGCAAUGUACCUAGAUUCAGGCAAGUUCCUAGCUGAUUCCUCAUCAGUGCAACAAAAGGCAUUAGAGAUCCGAGCAUGGGGGUUUUGCCUUCUCAACAGAUAACUUUACAGGAGGACUUCUCAAAAUGUUUUGUUAUGGUGUGUGGGUGAACAUAAGGUCCCUGAGCUCCUUUGUGCUUUCCACUCUUGUGUGGGGCAUUUCUCGGGACGGGUCACAGCGCACCUCCUCUUGCGCCAUGGCUACUUUGGCCUCGGAUUCACUAGGAUAGUCUGGACUAUGCAAAGGCAUGUGAGCAGUGCCAAUGGUUCAACCCUCGGAGCUAUGUUCCACGUCUUCCUUUCCAGCUUGUCAGUUCUCCGGGUCCCUUUUUCCAGCGGGGACUUGACCUCAUUGGUUUGAUCAACCCAUCGAGCUCAAAAGGACAGCAAUACAUCAUCAUGCCAAUGAAUUAUUUCACGAAAUGGGUUGAGGCCAUCCCUCUACAACAAGCAGAUCAACAAUCUACAACAAAGUUUGUCUACAAGUACAUCAUUUGCCAAUUCAAAGUUCCUACAAUUUUGAUUUCUGAUCGUGGUAGUGGCUUCCUUGGAUAGGUGAUGCAGCAUCUUCUCCAGUAGCUGCAAGUCAAGCACUUGAAGAACAGCUACUAUCCUGAGUGCAAUGGCUAGGCAGAGUCCAGCAACAAGAUAUUGAAGACAAUCAUCUUAAAACUUGUGGAGGAUCACACAAGGCGUUAGUAUAUACACUUGGUUACAGCGUUGUGGGCCUUUCGGAUGUCAAUUAAGACAUCCAUCUUUGCUACCCCAUUCUCUCUUGUCUAUGGGACAGAGGCUGUGCUUCCAGUGGAGAUCUAGAUGCCAUCACUCUCACUUUCACUUCGAUACGCAGUAGCAAUGGAACUUAGUGAUGAGGACAAGCUUCAUGUGUAUGACUUGGGCAAUGCAUCCCCUCUUCUACCUAUCCUUCUUUCUCGAUUUUGGCCAAUCCUUGGAGCAUACCUAAAGUCAUCAUGAGGUUGCAUUUGCAUAUUAUACUUUCCUAAGCCAAAAUCCAGGUACGGGUUAAGUUCUUUGGGUUUUUCUUCUCUUUCCAUACUUUUCUUCACUUUUUCUUUUACAUCAAAGUUUAGUUUGACUAUAGGGUUUCCUACCGAGUUUUCCUCCCUGUUUUUCAACUUCACAUCUACCCCCUUUUCUUUUUUUUUCCCACUUUAUUUUUCAAGGUUUGUACUAUUUCACGCAGUUACUAGCACUUGGCAUCAGCAGCAGAGGUACACUCUACACUUUUUAUAGGGUUCUUGUGCCUCUGGAGUCAGUGCGAUCCACCGUGGUCGCAUGUUAAGGUGUGGCCACUUAGAGAGUGUGAGAGUGAGAGAGAGAAUAUUCUAAUUCCUGAAAUAUUCCCUAUCCUCCUUGUAUAAAACCCUUGCCCCACAGGGGCAAAAGGGGGCAUUUGUGAAGAGCAUUGGAGCAUUUUUUGUAUUUGAGCAAGCGUUGGGGGAAGUGCCCAUCCUUCCCCCAAUACCAACUAAGGUGAAAAUUCAUUUGGUAUUUUAUGUUAGCUAGUUGAAAGGUGCACUAUCUUGGAGUGAAAGGCCUAAUGCCUCCUUGAUAUAUACAGCUGUGGAAGAUGGACUAGGAGCUUGAGUAGGUUUCCUUAGAAAGGGCGAUCACCGAUACAACUCAUUCUUGAGAUAAGGACUUUGUUGGGGGGGAAGAAUUGUUAUGUGCCAUCUUUGACCACAUGGUCAACAUCGGUCAAAGGGAAUCUCUCAAAGCUAUAUUAAGGCAUGUUAGGGUAAGGAACUUAACUUUACCUAGGGCUCAUAAUGGAGCAAUGGCAUAGUGGAGCUUUUGAGGUAGCUCGGGGGUGGUUGGGUGGUGAGGAAUCAAAAGGAGGCGUAGCAUAGUCUAGGGAGAAUAGGUAUUUGUCUUUUAGUGUUGGAUCUUAACAAGUGUAAAGAUUUUAAGACAAUAUGGGACUUUUAAGAUUGUAGAAUAAUAUAGUUUUAUAUUUCUAUUAGAUCUGAUUCAAACUUCCAAAACCUAAAGAUAAUUAAAUGGGGAAAUUUCUUCUGCAUUACUGAAAUCAUUUGCCACUUUUGUAAAUGUUUUCUUUGCUGACAUUUCAUUCUUUGUCUUGGCUCUAUAUAAUUGGAAGCUAUGAUUUGCAACAAUACCAGCAUAGUUGAAUGCUCAAAGUUUCUUCUUUUAGGAAUAUAUAAAGUGGAUAAUAUUAGGAUUUACAACAUUCCAAGUCCAAAAAGACUUGAGAUUUUGAAUAAGUGCUUGUAGUAGACCUUAUCUUUCUCCCCUUAAGUCAAUCAAAGAAAGAGAAAUUUUUUUAUAAGAAAGUCUUUAAUAAUUAUAUUAUCCCUAUUUAUCCCUUAAUGUUCUAAGGAUUCAUAGUGACAGUAUACCCAAAUCUCAUCCCAUGAUUACAUUGCUACAUUAGCUGCCAACUUUGACUUCAUUAAUAUUCAAAGCUGUUUGCAAUGUUUUUCAAUUUUCUGACCUCUUUGUUGAUAUGCACUUGUUUUCGCAUAGGCCUAUAAGCGAGCUCCUAUCCACAUACAAUGGCAACAUCUUUUUUGAGCUACUACCUUUUGUUAAUUCAAAGUGAAAAAGGAUGGAGACUAAGCAAAAGUUCCAUAAUUGGUGCAAGAUCAAGAUCAUACACUUUUAGCAUUUCAAAGGUAUAAUGUUUAUAGUUCAUUAUGGUGGGUAUUUAGAUUAUGGAUGAAACAUGCAAUCGAGAUGAUGGUAUAAAUUCUACCUUUUUUGAAGUACCUACAAUCAAUCCUCCCACCCAUGACAUAAUUGGUGUUAGAUUCAAUUGUCGAUUUUGCAAGAAUACUUCAUUAUAUUGUGUUGUCAGUGCAUGGAAUAUGGAAAGGGAAUAUAGAAAAUGUGCAUAUCAAUUAGCCCAAAAACCUUAGCUUAUAUACAGAAGUGAGUGGUCCGAAUUGAAACCAAUCCGAUGGCUACCAAAAUCCCAUUACGCUAAUAUUAGUAUACGGCAUCGUAGCCGUACACUUGGCCCUCACAUCAUCCCGUCCUCUCGGAAUAAUGGAAGACCAUCAGGGUUCUUUUGUAGAUGGGCCGGGAUUUGGAGGAACAUCAGAAGGAGGCAUCGGUGGAUCUGUAGGUGGUAUUAACUCCUCCUGAUCCCUUUGUAUGAAGCGUUUCAGCCGUUGCACAUGCACGAUCUCUGGAGGAUCGGUCUGCUGAACGUCAUGCUGAACCUCAUAAACUUGUGGUCCAACUUGCCGCAACACCUAAUACGGUCCUUUCCACUGCGCAAGAAGUCCCUUAGAUAAACCACGUACCGUUCCCUCUAUAUUUGAACCCCAUGGAUC
RNAcentral lists this long non-coding RNA (8857 nucleotides) under Selaginella moellendorffii. RNAcentral describes it as "long non-coding RNA (SMOE_LNC001452)". The record is from RNAcentral. Lineage: Eukaryota; Viridiplantae; Streptophyta; Lycopodiopsida; Selaginellales; Selaginellaceae.